AGCUCGUAGUUGAACCUUGGGCCUGGCUGGCCGGUCCGCCUCACCGCGUGUACUGGUCCGGCCGGGCCUUUCCCUCUGUGGAACCCCAUGCCCUUCACUGGGUGUGGCGGGGAAACAGGACUUUUACUGUGAAAAAAUUAGAGUGCUCCAGGCAGGCCUAUGCUCGAAUACAUUAGCAUGGAAUAAUAGAAUAGGACGUGUGGUUCUAUUUUGUUGGUUUCUAGGACCGCCGUAAUGAUUAAUAGGGACAGUCGGGGGCAUCAGUAUUCAAUUGUCAGAGGUGAAAUUCUUGGAUUUAUUGAAGACUAACUACUGCGAAAGCAUUUGCCAAGGAUGUUUUCAUUAAUCAGGAACGAAAGUUAGGGGAUCGAAGACGAUCAGAUACCGUCGUAGUCUUAACCAUAAACUAUGCCGACUAGGGAUCGGACGGUGUUAUUUUUUGACCCGUUCGGCACCUU
This 458-nucleotide ribosomal RNA is filed under the name uncultured Fusarium. RNAcentral's name for it is "SSU rRNA". It matches the Rfam family "Eukaryotic small subunit ribosomal RNA", at positions 625 to 1089 of the family's 1831-position model. Lineage: Eukaryota; Fungi; Ascomycota; Sordariomycetes; Hypocreales; Nectriaceae. The record is from RNAcentral.